GAUGAACGCUGGCGGCGUGCCUAAUACAUGCAAGUCGAGCGAACAGACGAGGAGCUUGCUCCUCUGACGUUAGCGGCGGACGGGUGAGUAAAACGUGGAUAACCUACCUAUAAGACUGGGAUAACUUCGGGAAACCGGAGCUACUACCGGAUAAUAUAUUGAACCGCAUGGUUCAAUAGUGAAAGACGGUUUUGCUGUCACUUAUAGAUGGAUCCGCGCCGCAUUAGCUAGUUGGUAAGGUAACGGCUUACCAAGGCAACGAUGCGUAGCCGACCUGAGAGGGUGAUCGGCCGCACUGGAACUGAGACACGGUCCAGACUCCUACGGGAGGCAGCAGUAGGGAAUCUUCCGCAAUGGGCGAAAGCCUGACGGAGCAACGCCGCGUGAGUGAUGAAGGUCUUCGGAUCGUAAAACUCUGUUAUUAGGGAAGAACAAAUGUGUAAGUAACUAUGCACGUCUUGACGGUACCUAAUCAGAAAGCCACGGCUAACUACGUG
Molecule: ribosomal RNA, 497 nt
Filed under: uncultured bacterium
Lineage: Bacteria
Description: partial 16S ribosomal RNA
Rfam family: Bacterial small subunit ribosomal RNA
Source: RNAcentral